Molossus molossus (Pallas's mastiff bat) is the source of this 820-nucleotide long non-coding RNA. RefSeq lists it as uncharacterized. The record is from RefSeq and is a predicted model, not a curated record. Lineage: Eukaryota; Metazoa; Chordata; Mammalia; Chiroptera; Molossidae. The transcript has 6 exons.
AUCUGUGCUGUGCUGACUGUGGCCUGCUCCCAAAGCCAUAAAACAGGAGGGGGAACAUGAAGCUUAAAGAGAUAACCAUGGACUCUUCGCUAGGGUCCAGAGGCUCUGAGGUCUGUGCUGAUGGGGAGAAAAUUCAUUGAGUACCUCCACAUCAUGAUGCCGUCAAUAACUUAAAUUUUUUGAGCCCCUUUUAUGAUCCAGGCACCGGCCUGGGCUUCGCAGAUCACCAUCAGCUGCCACUUGUUGUCUACCUACAGCUGCUGUGCUCAGCAUUUAUUAAAGGCUCAUUUGUCCAGCUGAAUUGAACCCUUACAUCUAUCUUGUGAAUAUUCUUUGUGUGACUGGACUCGAAUUGGUUUAUUCAUUUACUCCUGGACAUGGGAGUUGUUCACCGUUUCUGGCUGAUGUGGGUGAUGAUGCUGUGAACGUCACUGUGCUUGUCUUCGUGUGGACAUACAUUUGAAUUUCUCUUGGUGGCUACGGGAUUUUGCAUUCCCAUCAACAACCCAGGGAUGCUCCUCUCGCUCCACAUCCUCGCCAACAUGUGAUGCCAUCAGCUGUCUUACACUCCGGCCAUUCUAAUGGCUCUUAGGGUCCUCAUGAGACUUGUGACCAGAAGAGCAGUGGGCAGUGGCAGCUCGCCCUGGACUUACCCCUGAACCUGUGUCCAAGGUCCCCUUUCCUCUGACUGUGCAGUGAGCUACCAACGGCCCCACCUUGGCGCACUUCUUCCCUGUAGCGUUUCUAGGAGCCGAAGCAGCCCCUCAAGGCUCUCUCCUCCUGCUCCUUCUAGCCUACAUCCUUCCUUUGUUUCACUGUC